This is a non-coding RNA of Hippopotamus amphibius kiboko, 72 nucleotides long. Lineage: Eukaryota; Metazoa; Chordata; Mammalia; Artiodactyla; Hippopotamidae. The record is from the annotation of a RefSeq genome assembly.
UCCCUGGUGGUCCAGUGGUUAGGACUCAGCACUCUUACUGCUGGGGCUCAGGUUAGAUUCCUGGUUAGGGAA